GAACUGGUGAGUAACACGUGGGAAACCUGCCCAGAAGCGGGGGAUAACACCUGGAAACAGAUGCUAAUACCGCAUAACAACUUGGACCGCAUGGUCCGAGCUUGAAAGAUGGCUUCGGCUAUCACUUUUGGAUGAGUCCCGCGGCGUAUUAGCUAGAUGGUGGGGUAACGGCUCACCAUGGCAAUGAUACGUAGCCGACCUGAGAGGGUAAUCGGCCACAUUGGGACUGAGACACGGCCCAAACUCCUACGGGAGGCAGCAGUAGGGAAUCUUCCACAAUGGACGAAAGUCUGAUGGAGCAACGCCGCGUGAGUGAAGAAGGGUUUCGGCUCGUAAAACUCUGUUGUUAAAGAGGAACAUAUCUGAGAGUAACUGUUCAGGUAUUGACGGUAUUUAACCAGAAAGCCACGGCUAACUACGUGCCAGCAGCCGCGGUAAUACGUAGGUGGCAAGCGUUGUCCGGAUUUAUUGGGCGUAAAGUGAGCGCAGUGCGGUUUUUUAAGUCUGACGUGAAAGCCUUCAGCUCAACCGAAGUAAGUCCAUCGGAAACUGGGAAACUUGAGUGCAGAAGAGGACAGUGGAACUCCAUGUGUAGCGGUGAAAUGCGUAGAUAUAUGUGAUGAGAACACCAGUGGCGAAGGCGGCUGUCUGGUCUGUAACUGACGCUGAGGCUCGAAAGUAUGGGUAGCACAUCAGGAUUAGAUACCCUGGUAGUCCAUACACUAAACGAUGAAUGCUAAGUGUUGGAGGGUUUCCGCCCUUCAGUGCUGCAGCUAACGCAUUAAGCAUUCCAGCCUGGGGAGUACGGACGCAAGGCUGAAACUCAAAGGAAUUGACGGGGGCCCGCACAAGCGGUGGAGCAUGUGGUUUAAUUCGAAGCUACGCGAAGAACCUUAUCAGGUCUUGACAUACUAUGCAAAUCUAAGAGAUUAGACGUUCCCUUCGUGGACAUGGAUACAGGUGGUGCAUGGUUGUCGUCAGCUCGUGUCGUGAGAUGUUGGGUUAAGUCCCGCAACGAGCGCAACCCUUAUUAUCAGUUGCCAGCAUUAAGUUGGGCACUCUGGUGAGACUGCCGGUGACAAACCGGAAGAAGGUGGGGAUGACGUCAAAUCAUCAUGCCCCUUAUGACCUGGGCUACACACGUGCUACAAUGGAUGGUACAACGAGUUGCGAACUCGCGAGAGUAAGCUAAUCUCUUAAAGCCAUUCUCAGUUCGGAUUGUAGGCUGCAACUCGCCUACAUGAAGUCGGAAUCGCUAGUAAUCGCGGAUCAGCAUGCCGCGGUGAAUACGUUCCCGGGCCUUGUACACACCGCCCGUCACACCAUGAGAGUUUGUAACACCCAAAGUCGGUGG
RNAcentral lists this ribosomal RNA (1354 nucleotides) under Lactiplantibacillus plantarum. RNAcentral's name for it is "bacterial SSU rRNA". It matches the Rfam family "Bacterial small subunit ribosomal RNA", at positions 100 to 1433 of the family's 1533-position model. The record is from RNAcentral. Lineage: Bacteria; Bacillati; Bacillota; Bacilli; Lactobacillales; Lactobacillaceae.